RNAcentral lists this ribosomal RNA (253 nucleotides) under uncultured bacterium. RNAcentral describes it as "partial 16S ribosomal RNA". It matches the Rfam family "Bacterial small subunit ribosomal RNA", at positions 524 to 776 of the family's 1533-position model. The record is from RNAcentral.
UACGGAGGGGGUUAGCGUUGUUCGGAAUUACUGGGCGUAAAGCGCACGUAGGCGGCUUGGCAUGUCGGGUGUGAAAUCCCAGGGCUCAACCUUGGAACUGCCUUUGAAACUCCUGGUCUUGAGGUCGAGAGAGGUGAGUGGAAUUCCGAGUGUAGAGGUGAAAUUCGUAGAUAUUCGGAGGAACACCAGUGGCGAAGGCGGCUCACUGGCUCGAUACUGACGCUGAGGUGCGAAAGCGUGGGGAGCAAACAGG